CCUAGAGUUGUAGGCUUUGCCUGCUAUCUCUUACCCAUGUCUUUUGAGUACCUUCGUUUCCUCGGCGGGUCCGCCCGCCGAUUGGACAAUUUUAAACCAUUUGCAGUUGCAAUCAGCGUCUGAAAAAACUUAAUAGUUA
This 139-nucleotide unclassified non-coding RNA is filed under the name soil metagenome. RNAcentral's name for it is "partial internal transcribed spacer 1". The record is from RNAcentral.